AUACAGAGCCGUACAAAAACCUCUCUCAGUCAGACUGCACAGUGACUGUACUGAUACAGCUGGGACCUACUGCAGGUGCUGAGGGGGAAGAGACAGUGACAUGGAAGACUGAUCAGUAGAGGAGGUCAACUUUGAAAAUGGUUAGAAAGUAUCAUACAAAUCACACGUUGUCCCAACGUCAUCAUCGUCAUCAUGGUUGUAACUUGUUAUAUUGGACAUGAACUGAAAGUGUAUAUACAGUAAAAGUUAUUUGUAGUUUUGGAAGACAAUACCAGUCCAUAGUAGAGUAAGAUGUACAGAAGUAAGAGGAAACGUAUCAGCCCCCCAAACCAAUUCCCUACAUGCACUUCACAACCAGUUAAUGAUGUGAUCAUCUAGCAUGUAUUAACCCUUUUCAUGAGCUGAUAGAUCUGUGAAUGAGACAUGAUGCUGGGCUCAAACAUGACACAUUGAUGUAGAGACAUACACUACACACUAUUAUCAGAAAGUAUCAUUCCAUUUUAUCUGUCAUUAAUUACAUGGUGGCAUAUCUGUUAUGUCUCCCUCCCUGAAUCCACCAUAGAGGUUAAAACCAGUCCACUCCCUCACAUCUGGCCCAGUCCAGGGUAUUUCAGGCAGUAAAACAGGUCAACUGGUAGACUGGUAGCUGUGGGAGUGAAACAGAUUUACAUAGACAUGGCUGGUUGGUUCUGCUUGUCCCAGAAUAGAGCAGAACUGUCACCAGAUGUUCACUCUGUCCCCAGGGGGUUGGAGGUAGAGAAGACCAGGGAAAAUGUAAUGGAAAAGCGUAGACCACACAUUGUUGAAAACCAUUGGAAAAAUAUCUAAUUUAAUAAAAUCAUAUUAGGAAUUAAACAUUACAAAUAUACAGUUGACAUCGGAAGUUUACAGACACCUUAGCCAAAUACAUUUAAAUACAGUUUUUCACAAUUCCUGACAUUUAAUCCUAGUAAUAAUUCCCUGUCUUAGGUCAGUUAGGAUCACCACUAUUUUAAGAAUGUCAAAUGUCAGAAUAAUAGUAGAGAGAAUGAUUUAUUUCAGCUUUUAUUUCUUUCAUCACAUUCCCGGUGGGUCAGAAGUUUACUUACACCCCAUUAGUAUUUGGUAGUGAAGGAGGUUCACCUAGGGGUCAUGAUAGGGGCUUACUAAAUGUUUGAAGUAUUAUAAUAAUUGAUUAUGCUUAUGUUGUAUUAAUAUACGGGGAGGGGUUAUAAGACCCCACCCUCCUUACAUUUAUAGGGUUCUAGACUACAGAUUAACAAUAUAUAUUCAUUAUAGAUGUUUAUAAUUGUUCCACCACUGUUUUCUGGUCUCUUUGCCUCUUAUAAAGAGACCUCUGAGAAAUGUGUGACUGUGAAGACAGAACUCUGCAGGGGAGUGUAAGAGAAGAGAUUAGUUAGACGUUCCACUAUCCAUCAACUUGGACAUUUACUGCUAAGCUUUUAGAUAGUUAUAUAAACAAGAGUUGUAGUGUAGAGUAGGCAUGGUUUUGGUCUCAUCAGUAAAAGAUAAUGAUGUAGGCAGUGACAUCACUCGGGCUGGACUUUGGGUUUAAUAAAAUAACUUGGGACCAUUUCUUUGAUACAGAACUUACUCGGAAACAUGCUUUAUUUUCCAGUUGUCAACUUCUGUCUGUACAAUAGGGACUGAUAGUACUGAAGUACAAAUAUAACACAAUAGGGAUAGAGAGUACUGAACUACUAAUAUAAUACAAUAGGGACUGAUAGUACUGAAGUACAAAUAUAACAUAAUAGGGACAGAGAGUACUGAACUACUAAUAUAAUACAAUAGGGAUUGAUAGUACUGAAGUACUGGAAUAACAUAAUAGGGACUGAUAAUCCUGGGUUAUGAGUAUAAUCCACUGACACACUUAGAUAAUUACAUGUUCCUCUUAGAUCACUGAUUUACAGUAUAAGUUAUUUAUAACACGAUAAAAUAUUCUGUAUCUGCAUAAUCUGUAUGUAAUUAUAUAGCUAACAGUUAUGAAUGUAGGUACUAGCAGUAAGACUAUUUACAUAUGACCGUUUGCAUUGGCAGCACAUGCUUCAGUGCUCUGGGAGUAUUUAUAACCCUGUGAGUUUAUCACUUCAUGACUGAGAGCUGUCCUUCAUGACAACAGAACCCAAAACAACCAUGACUUUUAUCACCAUCUUCAUCUGGAUAUUUGCCCUCUGCUUUCAAGAGUCCAGAGGCCAGGUCACAGUGACCCAGACUCCUGCAGUGAAAGCUGUUUCAGUUAGUCACUCAGUCAGUCUCAGCUGUAAGACCAGCAGUGCAGUAUACAGUGAUA
Long non-coding RNA from Oncorhynchus nerka (sockeye salmon), 2290 nucleotides. RefSeq lists it as uncharacterized. The transcript has 2 exons. The record is from RefSeq and is a predicted model, not a curated record. Lineage: Eukaryota; Metazoa; Chordata; Actinopteri; Salmoniformes; Salmonidae.